CAGUAAGCCGAGCGACUGUAAACAAUUUCGGCCCCAUGCAAGUCAGCGCCAUGCUGGCGACACCCUCGAAUUGCGGGAAAGCCCUAAAGCACCUCCACACCAAACCCGGCGGGGAAACUCCCGGGUGGCCCAUGGGAAACUAUGGGGUACGGUAACAGCGGGGGGUGAUGAUCCACGAGCUCUGCUCCUCUGGUGAAGUGGGUGAUCCGCAGCGAAGCCCCUACAGUUGAUCGGCAGCACUUGCAUGCAGUUGAAACAUGGGGAACGUUCACAGACUAAGCGAAGGUGGGUGGAGUGCGCGCAGCACUCUGCUUAAGAUAUAGUCGGGCCCCUUGGGAAACCCUGGGGAAGUAAACGUUCCGUAGGUGAACCUGCGGAAGGAUCAUUA
Molecule: non-coding RNA, 388 nt
Filed under: Bambusicola triseptatispora
Lineage: Eukaryota; Fungi; Ascomycota; Dothideomycetes; Pleosporales; Bambusicolaceae
Description: partial 18S ribosomal RNA
Rfam family: Group I catalytic intron (bases 10-347)
About the family: Group I catalytic introns are large self-splicing ribozymes. They catalyse their own excision from mRNA, tRNA and rRNA precursors in a wide range of organisms.
Source: RNAcentral